GAUGAACGCUGGCGGCGUGCCUAAUACAUGCAAGUCGAGCGAACAGACGAGGAGCUUGCUCCUCUGACGUUAGCGGCGGACGGGUGAGUAACACGUGGAUAACCUACCUAUAAGACUGGGAUAACUUCGGGAAACCGGAGCUAAUACCGGAUAAUAUAUUGAACCGCAUGGUUCAAUAGUGAAAGACGGUUUUGCUGUCACUUAUAGAUGGAUCCGCGCCGCAUUAGCUAGUUGGUAAGGUAACGGCUUACCAAGGCAACGAUGCGUAGCCGACCUGAGAGGGUGAUCGGCCCCACGAGAACUGAGACACGGUCCAGACUCCUACGGGAGGCAGCAGGAGGGAAUCUUCCGAAAUGGGCGAAAGCCUGACGGAGCAACGCCGCGUGAGUGAUGAAGGUCUUCGGAUCGUAAAACUCUGUUAUUAGGGAAGAACAAAUGUGUAAGUAACUAUGCACGUCUUGACGGUACCUAAUCAGAAAGCCACGGCUAACUACGUG
This 497-nucleotide ribosomal RNA is filed under the name uncultured bacterium. Its description in RNAcentral is "partial 16S ribosomal RNA". It matches the Rfam family "Bacterial small subunit ribosomal RNA", at positions 28 to 507 of the family's 1533-position model. The record is from RNAcentral.